CUCAAGGGCGGACCUGACCGGCGAGAGGGAGCCCCCGCCCCUCGCCGUGACGACUGCAGACCCGCCGAACCCCGCACCCGCCGCGGCCCGGGGUGCGGGUGGGCAGCCCCUCGGCGGGAGCCGGCCAGAUGCUGGGGAGAUGAGCAAUGGAUGAUUUUGGCUUCCUCUGAAUAACUCCUGAGAGGGGAAAGACACGGCAUGUGGAAGACACUGUGCAUGAGGUGAAUGAGUUCUUCCAGCUCUCUUCUCCAGCCCUGGAGCUCCAGAAAGAGGAGGAUGAGCCAGACCCACUGCCCCCAGGUGAAUGCUGCACAUUUGUGGUGGCUCCCAGCAUCUCCCCUUGUGAGUGGCAGGAAGAUAAACUUCACCCACUGGAGAAAAGUGGCCCAGAUGGAGAAAAGCUGGGACCCUGGGCCCUGAAGAGCCACUGGGCCCUGGAGCUGCAGGUGAGGAGAGUCCACCUCGCUCAGAGGAUUGAAGACCUGGAGUAGGAGCUGUCCUUGCUCCUUCAGGCGGCCAACAGCAGUUCGAGCAUAGGAGGGAGCUGGCCCAGCCAACACAGCAGCCUAAGGGGCACUGAGUCACAUCAGAUACUGCAUGGUGGCCACCUCCGGGAGGUGCCUUCUCACCGAGAACAUGAACGGCUUCCCCUGGUAGGAAGGAGUGGGCAUCUGGGGCCCGGAGUGUGUGCUGGUUUUACGACGUGCUCCUACAGGGAGACACCUGGAUUUCUUUCAGAGCCUGGACCUCAGCUUGUGCUCAAUUCUGCCUUGAACUUUCUGGGGUGAGGGAAAAUAAACUGACAUGGGUUGACAAAAUCAGGGUGUGCUCCUAUCAGAGUCUGUGCCUCCAUUUUCUCACUCAGCUGUGGGCCGUGGCUUCCCCCAAAAAACUUCAGUUGGGGCCCCUGGCUUGAGGGGUGAGAAGUGCUUGGGCGGGGCCUGAGAACAUAGGUGCAGCCAGAGCACAUCCACGCCCCAUCUUCCAUCACACCUCACGGCUGAGUCUCCUGGGCCCCCAGUGUGGCUUGUAGGGAGUCCAAGUAGCCAUGUCCCCUCCUGGCUCCAGCCAACCUCCUGGACACAGAGGAGGGUUCGGUCUGUGGCCUGGGCCUCGUGACCACAUCAGAUGUCCCAGUACCAAAGGAGACUCUCUGAGAAGAGCCAGAGCCACAUCCAGUCGAACUGGAGUUCUCUGACCCUGGACAUACACAACCCUGUUCUCCGAGCCUUGGUCCAGCAGUUCCCUCCUCAGAAGGUCCCUCCCGCUGCGCUGUGCCCAGGUGAGAUGUGCUUCAUCUCUAAGACCCAACCAAGAGGCCCUUCAGUCCACAGAGCUUUUUCCCACCCCUUCCCAGAUUUCUACCCCGUCUCCACCACAUGUCUGCUUCCCAUGAGUCACCUGUGCCCUGGAUGGCCUUAUCUUCCAGUCGGAGCUCCUCAAAGCACGGUGACGAACGAAGAGUGGCUGGGUUCAGAGUGAAGCAGCAAUGGACAGAGACCUCUGAAGAGGAAAGCAGUAAUAUUUCUCAGGAUGUCAGCCCAGGCUACAGUGGGAACUGCAUGGGCUUUCUCACUAAGAAAACCGACCUUGCUAUGAAGCUCUCUCUGUCCGCGCAUGUACGACGCAUCUCUCACAGGCACAGCGAUCCAGAAAACUCAAGUGGCCGUCUCCAUUGCGGUCAUCUGGACUUCCAGGCAAACAGGACACACAGGGGACAAUGAGCAGAUUAAGAAAAAAUAAUUCUAUGCUUCUUC
Long non-coding RNA from Lemur catta (Ring-tailed lemur), 1757 nucleotides. RefSeq lists it as uncharacterized. The record is from RefSeq and is a predicted model, not a curated record. The transcript has 7 exons. NCBI's taxonomy places the organism in Eukaryota, Metazoa, Chordata, Mammalia, Primates, Lemuridae.